This 253-nucleotide ribosomal RNA is filed under the name uncultured bacterium. RNAcentral's name for it is "partial 16S ribosomal RNA". It matches the Rfam family "Bacterial small subunit ribosomal RNA", at positions 524 to 776 of the family's 1533-position model. The record is from RNAcentral.
UACGGAGGGGGCUAGCGUUGUUCGGAAUUACUGGGCGUAAAGCGCACGUAGGCGGACAGUUCAGUCGGGGGUGACAUCCCGGGGCUCAACCCCGGAACUGCCUUCGAUACUGGCUGUCUGGAGGUCGAGAGAGGUGAGUGGAAUUCCGAGUGUAGAGGUGAAAUUCGUAGAUAUUCGGAGGAACACCAGUGGCGAAGGCGGCUCACUGGCUCGAUAAUGACGCUGAGGUGCGAAAGCGUGGGGAGCAAACAGG